RNAcentral lists this ribosomal RNA (505 nucleotides) under uncultured bacterium. RNAcentral's name for it is "partial 16S ribosomal RNA". It matches the Rfam family "Bacterial small subunit ribosomal RNA", at positions 28 to 507 of the family's 1533-position model. The record is from RNAcentral.
GACGAACGCUGGCGGCGUGCCUAAUACAUGCAAGUAGAACGCACAGUUUAUACCGUAGCUUGCUACACCAUAGACUGUGAGUUGCGAACGGGUGAGUAACGCGUAGGUAACCUGCCUGGUAGCGGGGGAUAACUAUUGGAAACGAUAGCUAAUACCGCAUAAUAUUGAUUAUUGCAUGAUAAUUGAGUGAAAGAUGCUAUUGCAUCACUACCAGAUGGACCUGCGUUGUAUUAGCUAGUAGGUGAGGUAACGGCUCACCUAGGCGACGAUACAUAGCCGACCUGAGAGGGUGAUCGGCCACACUGGGACUGAGACACGGCCCAGACUCCUACGGGAGGCAGCAGCAGGGAAUCUUCGGCAAUGGACGAAAGUCUGAGCGAGCAACGCCGCGUGAGUGAAGAAGGUUUUCGGAUCGUAAAGCUCUGUUGUAAGAGAAGAACGGGUGUGAGAGUGGAAAGUUCACACUGUGACGGUAUCUUACCAGAAAGGGACGGCUAACUACGUG